This is a non-coding RNA of Ictidomys tridecemlineatus (thirteen-lined ground squirrel), 73 nucleotides long. Lineage: Eukaryota; Metazoa; Chordata; Mammalia; Rodentia; Sciuridae. The record is from Rfam.
GGGGAUGUAGCUCAGUUGGUAGAGUGCUGGCCUUAUAAGCACAAGGCCCUGGGUUCAAUCCCCAGCUCCACUA